RNAcentral lists this unclassified non-coding RNA (374 nucleotides) under Hevea brasiliensis (rubber tree). The record is from RNAcentral. Lineage: Eukaryota; Viridiplantae; Streptophyta; Magnoliopsida; Malpighiales; Euphorbiaceae.
GGAUGAGACCAGAGGAAGAACUGAUAAAUCGUUUCCAAUAUUUGAUAGAGAUGCCAGUAUAGAUGCUCCAUCAUCAGCUGAAGGGUCUCCAGAUCUUGUCUGGAAGUGAAUUCCUUCAAUACAGGGUCCCUGUGUGUCAGGAAGGGCAAGUGACGGAGGCAAAACAGCUGUCUUUAACUUAUCAUUAGUAAGUUGCUGGAAAAUAUAAGCAUGUUUUUCUGAUGAACUAAAAACUAUCUCAUCCCCUCCCAUGAGAAUAACAUUUGAACCUUUUUCUUUGAUACUGCCAUUGACUUGUACGAUGCCUUUGCUCCCCGAGAUUUCAAGCAGCGUAAUUGUUGCACCUCCAUGCUCAGUGUACCUCAGCUUACAGA